RNAcentral lists this unclassified non-coding RNA (200 nucleotides) under Kockovaella sp. Its description in RNAcentral is "partial internal transcribed spacer 2". The record is from RNAcentral. Lineage: Eukaryota; Fungi; Basidiomycota; Tremellomycetes; Tremellales; Cuniculitremaceae.
UUAAGUUCAGCGGGUAGCCCUACCUGAUUUGAGGUCAAUGUCAAAAGAUUGGGGGUUGUGAGCGGCCUCAGGACGGCCGGGACGAAACUUAUCACGUCAGGCGUAGGUCAAGAAGUUCCCACUGAGUCAUUUGAAGCGAGCCUUGGGAGGCAGACACCCAGUUCCAAGUCCACACAGGUGAGAAACCCGUGGGAUUGAUG